Molecule: unclassified non-coding RNA, 369 nt
Filed under: Artemisia khorassanica
Lineage: Eukaryota; Viridiplantae; Streptophyta; Magnoliopsida; Asterales; Asteraceae
Description: partial external transcribed spacer
Source: RNAcentral
GUUACAUGUGGUUGGCUGCGGCGUUUGCAACAACUUCCAUGCUUUCAGACCUCUUCAGUUGUGCGGCAAGGCUUGUAUCGCCUUGAGCGUAUUGUGGGUUUUCUGUGUUGGCUACCUAAUCAAUGGUAUCGGUUGGAUUGAUCAAUGUUUCAUUUCGUCUACCGUCGCAUUCGCGGCGUGAGAUGAACCUUGAUGCGGUCUCUUUGAUCCACCUCGUCGAAGCGCAUGCUUUGGCGUUGUGGCACAUUGAGCAUUGCUUGGUCUCUUGUAUACGGAACAUAUAGUGGGCAUGGAUCUAACGAUUCUCGUUUGCCCUCAUAUUAGCGUAACGCUUCUCUUACACGACUUGCACCACGUUUUAGCUCGUAC